GUGCAUCAAUUCUCAGCCAGGAGGUGUUGGUUCUGCAACUUUAUAAAAGGUAAAACCCUGGACACCACCUUAGAGCACUCGGCCUCCAAACCAGAGAAGUGGCACAAGCAGGACUUGCUGCUCUGUUACCAGACUUGCUCUGAUCUUUAUUCCUAAAAAUGGCACUUUCCUUCCAGCACAGCAGGUUGGGGAGGACAGCAGGGGCAGCAGCUGGACAGGAAAGAGAAUGACAAUUUUACCAGGACAGCCCAAUGACCAUGGUCAUUAGCAUAGGUACAGCUAUAAAUCCUGUUGUUCCCUGCUGCGGUGCAGCAGAAAUGCUGCUGAAGCUGUCCUUGGAGCUCUCGGCACUCUGGACAAAAGGCACCCUCACUUUCCAGCUCUGCACUUGACACACAGUGAAUCUCCUGGCUGACGCACAUGUUCCACAUGGCAGGAAAUAAAAGAAAACUUUCCUUUGCUAGCAUUUUGCAGGCAGAGAACUUUUGUAUUGGAAAGAAAAGGAAAGGCAGAAAGCAAAUUCUUCCAACAUUGCUUGCUUGGAAAAGCUUACAAAUCCUGCUGGCAGAAAGUUUAUAGUCCUCUGCAGAGAUCUCAGCUGGGUGAUUUUUUUUUCUGUCUCUCAAGAAAUACCAUGCAAAUUCUCCUAAAUUACUUGGUAACUACAGAAGAUAUGCUUGGCAAAUACCCUGUCACUACACA
Long non-coding RNA from Motacilla alba alba, 702 nucleotides. RefSeq lists it as uncharacterized. The transcript is spliced from 3 exons. The record is from RefSeq and is a predicted model, not a curated record. Lineage: Eukaryota; Metazoa; Chordata; Aves; Passeriformes; Motacillidae.